UUUCACCGGAGGGAGCGCGGCGUGGGGUGAGGCUGGUUAGAAGUGUGGCGAGGUGUGUGGAAGGCGCCUGCGGGCUGAGUGUGUGAGUGGACGCGCGAAUGUGUGAGUGCACGCGCGAAUGUGUGAGUGCGUGCGCCCGCCCCCGUGCCCCUCCCCCGGCCUACACCUUGAUCUUAUUUGAUCGGGUUGUGACUCCAGCCCCGCCGGACCAACCCGAAAUGAAAAGCUCCCCUCCUGCGAAGCCCCUUUCUCGGGGCGCUGUGCAGCGAGGCCCCUUGGGCGGUGGCAACGCCGCGGUCCCGGAGGUCCCGGAGCUGGUCCUACGGGGCCCGGCGCUCAGAAGUGAUGAAUUGAUCAGAUAGACGAGGCUGGGCUUGUCCCGGGCCACUGAUUAUCGAGGCGAUUCUGAUCUGA
This is a non-coding RNA of Physeter macrocephalus (sperm whale), 414 nucleotides long. Ensembl annotates it as small Cajal body-specific RNA 2. Its record names the gene SCARNA2. NCBI's taxonomy places the organism in Eukaryota, Metazoa, Chordata, Mammalia, Artiodactyla, Physeteridae. The record is from Ensembl.